GUGGGGAAUCUUGCGCAAUGGGCGAAAGCCUGACGCAGCCAUGCCGCGUGAAUGAUGAAGGUCUUAGGAUUGUAAAAUUCUUUCACCGGGGACGAUAAUGACGGUACCCGGAGAAGAAGCUCCGGCUAACUUCGUGCCAGCAGCCGCGGUAAUACGAAGGGGGCUAGCGUUGCUCGGAAUUACUGGGCGUAAAGGGCGCGUAGGCGGACAGCUUAGUCAGAGGUGAAAGCCCAGGGCUCAACCUUGGAAUUGCCUUUGAUACUGGCUGUCUUGAGUUUGGGAGAGGUAAGUGGAACUCCGAGUGUAGAGGUGAAAUUCGUAGAUAUUCGGAAGAACACCAGUGGCGAAGGCGACUCACUGGCCCAAUACUGACGCUGAGGCGCGAAAGCGUGGGGAGCAAACAGGAUUAGAAACCCGGGUAGUCC
RNAcentral lists this ribosomal RNA (425 nucleotides) under uncultured bacterium. RNAcentral describes it as "partial 16S ribosomal RNA". It matches the Rfam family "Bacterial small subunit ribosomal RNA", at positions 354 to 796 of the family's 1533-position model. The record is from RNAcentral.